AUUGAACGCUGGCGGCAUGCCUUACACAUGCAAGUCGAACGGUAACGGGCCUUCGGGUGCCGACGAGUGGCGAACGGGUGCGUAAUACAUCGGAACGUGCCCGAUCGUGGGGGGUAACGAGGCGAAAGCUUUGCUAAUACCGCAUACGAUCUACGGAUGAAAGCAGGGGACCGCAAGGCCUUGCGCGGACGGAGCGGCCGAUGGCAGAUUAGGUAGUUGGUGGGAUAAAAGCUUACCAAGCCGACGAUCUGUAGCUGGUCUGAGAGGAUGAUCAGCCACACUGGGACUGAGACACGGCCCAGACUCCUACGGGAGGCAGCAGUGGGGAAUUUUGGACAAUGGGCGCAAGCCUGAUCCAGCCAUGCCGCGUGCAGGAUGAAGGCCUUCGGGUUGUAAACUGCUUUUGUACGGAACGAAAAGCCUUCUUUUAAUACAGGAGGGUCAUGACGGUACCGUAAGAAUAAGCACCGGCUAACUACGUG
This 482-nucleotide ribosomal RNA is filed under the name uncultured bacterium. RNAcentral describes it as "partial 16S ribosomal RNA". It matches the Rfam family "Bacterial small subunit ribosomal RNA", at positions 30 to 507 of the family's 1533-position model. The record is from RNAcentral.